CUGGGGUAUAUGAUUAGUCUGGCUAUAAGCUAAGUUCAAACAAUUAGAAGUUUCUUCAUUCUAUGAUUUCACAUUUCAUCCAUCAUCGUAUUAUCAGCAAGAAGAAGAUGAUAGAGAUCUUGCUUGCGAUUUUUGUUUGCUAUAGGUUUAUGGUUCAUGAUCAGCAGUUCAGUUCUUACACAACAUAUUGGUUCUGUAAUGGGCUCUCACUUACUCUUAACUUGUAAUUGCAGGUUAUAUCCCACUAUGUCGAGGAGACUUUCAUAAUCAUGAUCCCCAUUACCUGACCUACACUGAUGACUGAUGAUGACUCUGACAUGAAGUUUGAAGCUUCUGAUAUCAAAACUACAAGCCAGACAAGAAAGACUCUAGUGUUUCAUGCUUCAAGAACUUGAUCAGUUUCAAUAAUUACGAAGCACCAACUCCGGAUUCUUACAGCCAGUUUCAAGAAUUACAAAGCAACAACUCCGGAUUCAUACAGCACUGGAACUGAAUCUAAACGAAUGCAUAUGCUGAGAUGAGGUGUUCACAUGAUUGUACCAACUGAAUCAAUGAAAAACUAUUUAUCUAUACUUGCAGCUUCAGCUUAUCAAAUUGACUACUUUUUCGCUGCUUUAUCUUCUCUAUGC
This 629-nucleotide long non-coding RNA is filed under the name Capsella grandiflora. Its description in RNAcentral is "long non-coding RNA (CGRA_LNC000204)". Lineage: Eukaryota; Viridiplantae; Streptophyta; Magnoliopsida; Brassicales; Brassicaceae. The record is from RNAcentral.